Molecule: long non-coding RNA, 2315 nt
Filed under: Sus scrofa (pig)
Lineage: Eukaryota; Metazoa; Chordata; Mammalia; Artiodactyla; Suidae
Description: lncRNA (ENSSSCG00045036968.1)
Source: RNAcentral
ACACUACUGCCUGGACAGCGCGGAGCGCAGAGUCCUCAGAGGCCCCGCAGCCGCGGGUUGGUCCCUGCGCGGGAAGCCCGGGAGCUGCCAGAAGAGGAUGGAGGAGAAGCGGCGGCCUCUGAAGAGGGCGGCGACUCGGGAAAGGCUCGAGGGAGCCGGGCGGGCCACCAAAGACGUGGAUCCAGGCCCGGGUCCCAGGCUGUGGCAGGACGCGAGACGGACAAGUGCAGGCCCUCCGAAGGCCUCAACCAGUUCCUCGUCAUCCUCGCUCUCCAGGUCGCUCCCAAGGAAUUUGCUGCCCAGGUAACUGACAGGCAUUUUGCGCAGCCUCCUUCCACGCCCCGUGCCUUUGUGGUCCUUGUCAUCCUUGUCUCUGGAGGUUUCAAAGUCGCUGAACUCGCUGUCACUGGCAUUGCUGCUGUCAUAAGUACCCACGACCAGCCGAGGAGGUGGCGUCACCAUCUGCGGGACUCUCCUCCUCGAUCCGGGCUCCUUGGGCUUUUUAGGGGGCUGGGGCGGGUGGGGGGUGCUCUUCUCGAUGAUGCGGGCCACAUCCUCCAGGGUGCGGCCUUCUUCCUCCAGAAACUGGAUCAGCCGCUCCCGAAAUUCCGCCUCCUUGGUGGCGGGCUUGGAGAUAACCCUCCAGACGCCUCCCGCCAGCCUGACCUCGCGGGGGAUGAGCAAAUAGUCUACGUCCUCGCCGAUCUGCAGCAUCCCCACCGUGGAGUCCUCCUCGCGGCGGAACACCUUGCCGAUCUUCUUGAAUGUCCCCACCGGCUUCAAGGCUUCCACGAGGACGUCCAAAUCCACAUCUUUGCAGAUGUCGGGGACGCUCCAGAGGAUCAGGCAAUCAGGGGAAGGGAGGAAGCCCCAGGGGAACCAGCCCCCCACGUGGCUUUUCUCGAGGGUCUUUAAGAUCUCCAGGGUGAAAUCUAAAGUGCGGGCAAGGAGCCCAAACUACUCGCAGCGCCGAGUCUUGGGGUGGGGAUGCGGUCCCAAGAGCGCGGCCGGGAAUCUCACCUCCCAGUUUCUCUGCCCGCAACAAGUCGGGUCGUGAUCCAGUUCGCUCCCCUCAAGGACUGGUGGGAAUCGAUUCAGGGUGCUUACGUGAGUCGGAGUCUCAAGGUUCCAAGCCCGCCGCAAGCUGUAAAUGGGUGUCCCGGCUCCAACUCAGUGUAAGGACUGCUGGUGGCUCUUCCUGUGCCAGGCACAGGGGACGUCCCUGGAACUUGGGAAAGGACUUUGCAGACAAAGACGGCUCAGCUGUGGCUGUUCAAUAUGGCCGAGGCUCUUGGAGGCCGCAGCCAGCUCCCCAGGAGGGUCUCCCGCCCCUAGGCAGGCUGCCACCUCGGUCCAGGCUGACCUUGACGCGCCUCCGCCCCCAGCCUGCGCGCCCAGGGCCGGCGAGUGCGCGCGCGGGCAGGAAGUUCCUCCUCGCCUUCCCCCUGGAUGAGGCCCACCUUCUCCCUGCUCGGCUUACACUCCCGGACUCGGGGAAGACUGACAGGGGGGCUGUCCACUCCCCUUGGGGCGCCCUCGCCGCCCUCCCCCCCAGGGGUGUGGCUGCGCCCCGGGCCUCUCAGGGGCCCCGGCUUCCAAGCCAAAGGCCUGCGGUGCCGACGCCCACGUCAGCAGCUUUCUCUGAGAAAGGCAGCAGUUCCCGAAACUACCGUCCCAAAAGUGCGGGUUCCAGCCCAGCCCUGAAGGUGGGCGCGCUCAUCAUCGGGCAAUCCCUUGGAAAGCCACUGACAGUAUAGUACCAUCUUAAAAUUAAGUGACUUUGGGUACCGGCAGUUCCUAGCCAUAUACCCAGACAUGUGGGUGAAGAACCUGGUAUCAAGGUCUUAUUGCAGCUCAUCAUGGGGCUUGGCACAGAGUAGGUGCUCAAGAAAUAUUUUUGAGUGAAUGAAUGCACCUAAUUGUUCACCGGUAGGGACUAACGGUGAAAUACUAGGCCGUUAUGAAAAAGAGAAGUGACUGAGAAUAAACACAUUUUAGGGAGCACUUCCUACGUACGAAGGACCAUGCUAAGUGCUUUUUAUAAAUUAACUCAUAAAAUUCACACAAAAACAUCAGGAUACAGAUAAUACGAUGCUCAUUCCCAUUGUACAGCUGAGGAAAUAAAAUCAAUCUCUUGCUCAAGGUCACAUGGCCAGGAAGAAGACUGAACCUGGAUUUGAUUCUGAAACAGUCUAAUGUGUGUGUAGACCAAAGGGCCUAGGUGUAUACAUACAUUUGUCAUGUGUAGAAGCACUGCCAACAGUGGCUAUAUCUGGGGACCCCGGAGGUGGCUUUUCACUUUUCACAUGACUUUU